This 304-nucleotide unclassified non-coding RNA is filed under the name plant metagenome. RNAcentral describes it as "partial contains 5.8S ribosomal RNA, internal transcribed spacer 2, and large subunit ribosomal RNA". The stretch from base 1 to 103 matches the Rfam family "5.8S ribosomal RNA", at positions 52 to 154 of the family's 154-position model. The record is from RNAcentral.
AAUGCGAUAAGUAAUGUGAAUUGCAGAAUUCAGUGAAUCAUCGAAUCUUUGAACGCACAUUGCGCCCGCCAGUAUUCUGGCGGGCAUGCCCGUCCGAGCGUCAUUUCAACCAUCAAGCGCCCGGGCUUGUGUUGGGGACCUGCGGCUGCCCGCAGGCCCUGAAAACCAGUGGCGGGCUCGCUGUCACACCGAGCGUAGUAGCAAUCACCUCGCUCAGGGCGUGCUGCGGGUUCCGGCCGUUAAACAGCCUUACAAAACCCAAGGUUGACCUCGGAUCAGGUAGGAAGACCCGCUGAACUUAAGC